RNAcentral lists this long non-coding RNA (1109 nucleotides) under Anas platyrhynchos platyrhynchos (common mallard). RNAcentral's name for it is "lncRNA (ENSAPLG00000029617.1)". Lineage: Eukaryota; Metazoa; Chordata; Aves; Anseriformes; Anatidae. The record is from RNAcentral.
CCUUCUUCUUCCUUCCAGUGUUCUGUCUUUGUAAUAACUUUUAAAAUGAUGGUUUCUGUAACAUCUGUUAGGUCUUUGUAAAGGUGGCAUGGAGAUAAAUGUUCUGGAAAGAACUAUUUUCUUGGCACUGAUACAUGAAAAGUAGUUUAUUUUCAGAAUGCACAAAUGCUUAUUUUGUUGGUCUUCCUGUUUUCAACUACACACAACAGAUUAAUUGAAAAGACUAUUUAUUUAUUUAUUUACAGGUCAGUCAAGACAUGUUUCCUAUAAUAUGGCUGAAUAGUUUACCUGCUUUCUGGAAGCUGGUUCUAAAUUUUCCUCAGUCCAUUACAGAAUUUUUGAUGCUAUUGACAUCUGCUGGUAUGAUAGAUACUAAAUGCUUCAUACCUUCUGAGUCAUCUAACUUCUGCAAUACUUUCCCCACAUGGAAAGUUGAGUAAAUGCAUGGGAACCAUAAUUAAUGGUCCCAGCAAAGUCAAAAUGGAUUACAAUAUUGGUUUCGGAUCAGACAUUGACUUCUUUACCCUCUUGGGUUCUGGGUAUGUCAUAACCUUAUACAAAAAGAUUUACUCCUUUCUUAAGCAUUUCACGUAAGUAUGAGUUCAACAUCCGUCUUGAUAAUCUGUUCCAGUUGUGAUUGCCCACUUAUUAAUAUGCUAUUGCAAUGAUGAAUUUGUGUCCCUUCACCUUUAUGUCACUCCAUGUUUUUUAUGACUUUGCCAGCAAUACCAAAAUAGUCCAUCAGAUAUCCUUUUCAUCUGCAAGUACUAAAACACAAAAAUCAAGUAAUCUCUCAGCCUUACAAUGAGUUGGGAAAAACAGACAAACACUGUACUUCUUAGAAUUCAAGGUGACUCUAUUUGUAAUUCCUUAUUCAUUUGAUGUCCAUACCUAUAAAUAGGUUUAGUAAUUCAUAUAUCUUUUGCAAUGAGGACAUAGUAUUCAAGAAGACUGCUUUACAAAGUAGCAAAAUCAUUCUCUGGUUUCUACCAGAUAUUCCUGUUAUACAUCUUCAAAGAUUUCAUUAGUCCUUUUUGCUACAGUACCGCACUAGAGGCUGCUCUUUGGGACAGUAAUAAACUGUGCUCUGUAGUUCCUUGCCUGAAUCA